UUAUAGUGAUCGGGUUUGCUUCGUAUAACCCCAAUGAUAUGGUUUGGGGGUUUCUACCAGUCCCCGUAAAGUGCUGAUUACGAAGAGUAAAGGUAAUUAA
RNAcentral lists this non-coding RNA (100 nucleotides) under Vibrio hippocampi. Its description in RNAcentral is "Purine". It matches the Rfam family "Purine riboswitch aptamer". Rfam says of the family: Riboswitches are metabolite binding domains within certain messenger RNAs that serve as precision sensors for their corresponding targets. Allosteric rearrangement of mRNA structure is mediated by ligand binding, and this results in modulation of gene expression. Lineage: Bacteria; Pseudomonadati; Pseudomonadota; Gammaproteobacteria; Vibrionales; Vibrionaceae. The record is from RNAcentral.